Sycon ciliatum is the source of this 1745-nucleotide RNA transcript. RefSeq lists it as uncharacterized. NCBI's taxonomy places the organism in Eukaryota, Metazoa, Porifera, Calcarea, Leucosolenida, Sycettidae. The record is from RefSeq and is a predicted model, not a curated record. The transcript has 8 exons.
UGUAUUGAGCAGGGAGUGGUCCCUUCUUGCAGGUUUUCCGAGUGGAAGGUUGGAUGGACUUUUCGUGUGCUCUGGGUGGCAGCUGUCAGUCAGUCAAGUGUAAAGUCAAGGCGGCGGAAUAGCGUGAGCUCCAGUGUCGAGAGCAAACCCUUUCCUAACAAUCUUCGCCGAAGUCGCAACCACUAUUUCCAUUAGGCGAUUUGAUCGCAGGACGAGAGAGGAGCUGAUGGACGAUCUCUCCAAUGUUCCACUUGGUUCGGAGCGGCGCCGAGUGCUGACGUUGGGACUUGGCCGGUGUGUGCACACCGCUAGCUAAACCGACCAACGGCUACUCCCAGGGCACAAACUAUUCUGCUGGAGGCAGCGUCGUCUUCGGCUGAAAUUCCGGAUACAACCUGCAGGGAAGCAUUGUGCGCAUCUGCCAGAUUGACGGUUCCUGGAGUGGGGCAGCUGCCUCAUGUAAUCCCAUUCAACUGCAGUGCCAGUCUGGCUACCUGCCCUGCCUGCGUUCCAGCCUGUGGCUGUAUCCUGCCAUCACAGCGCUGCGACGGUGUUUGGUACGACUGUGCUGAUGGCUCUGAUGCACAGUACUGCCCAGGCAAGGUCACACCAGCUCCAGGUCAAACCGACUGCCAGGUCCUGUCACCACCGGCACUGGGCUCAAUGACCGUGAACGGCUUGAUGUUCAGCAACACGACCACGUUUGUGUGCAGUCUCCCUAUGUCCUUAUGGGCUCGGCCGUGUGUACUUGUGAAAUCAACGGCCAGUGGAGCGGUGUGCAGCCAACUUGCGUCCUGACGACUGCUGCUCUGAGUGCGGCCAGUGACGAGCUAGUCAAGGACUCCGUCUCAGAACGCAUGACACAAACGUGUUAGCUCCUGCUCCAUGCCCAUUGUUGGAGCGACAGUCCUGGAAUCCAGAGUUGCAAGUGAGGUGGUGAUACGGCAAGCAGACGGUGGCAAAGUACGGCUUAAAAGCUCUACAUCUGGCAAGUGGCCGGCAUACCACCCCAAUGGACAUCGGAACAGUACACGUAGAGUAGCAUCUCUACGUGACAGGGUAUGAGCGCAAGCCAGUAUUGCCAAGCACUGGGGACCUUUGGCAAUCUGAAGAAUGUUUUGUCCGAGAAUCGAUCCUUGGAUCUGUGGCGUUGCAGUUGUGGUGCUCCCGACCCUCUUGCGUGAUGGCCGCGGAGACCUAGCGAAAAGGUUCGAGACAUACGGCAUCUCAAUAUCUUCCACCACAAUCAGUACAUCAGCACCACCAUCGAGUGUAGCGACAUCAGCAAUAGAAGACGCACAUGAUAUCAUCCACCCUUACGGCCUUAGCGAAGACCCGGGAAUACCUGAGAAGAUGUUAGCCGCAACUUUACUGGAAAAGUCGUCGGUGACAACGGCACUCCAUAUUUUAGCUGCAUGCAGUUAGGUCUCUCAACAAGUGUACCCAAAGUUUUCAAGCUAAUACACAAGCAAAUUCACUAGGGGCCGAGUAUAUUUUCCUACACCUCUCCCUGUUUGUUGUUGUUAUUUCUGCAUUCAAAUUGUUUGUGUACCUGUACAUUUAUUACAGUAGAGCCACGCAUCCACAGCUGUUGUUUCCAAGGGGUCAGGCUCGUCAGUUAUACAAAACCUUUCAGCAAUCUGGCCUUAGGCUUAGUUCCUUGACUUCUUGUACCACUUUCUUAGAUGCACAUCCCACUGGAUAGUGAGCAAUACGUGUGUAGCAGAAUCUGUAUUCCAGAAAAG